GCCAAUACAAAAGAGGGAGCGAGAGCAAGAAGACUUCAUGAAAUGAUUUCUAUAGAAAAUCUAAACCGGAGGUCGUCCACUUCAUCAUAAGCCAACGCCCAACGGAAAACCUUGUCUUGAUUUGGAAGAGAAAUGGGAUGUUGAUAGAAUUGAAAUGGAUGAUGGUUGUGUUUUGAUCAUCAAGCACCGGUACUUUCUUUUCGAAGGGAAAGGAGCCGACACGGUAGCAGCGCAUCGCACACUCAAUUUUCACACUAUGAUGUUCUUGGGAUUGUACUCUGACAUUAUUAUUAUUCAACGGCAUGUUUUAUGAUAUUUAACUUAUGUGAUUAUGGUUUGGUAUGAUAUCGAUGA
This is a long non-coding RNA of Lactuca sativa (garden lettuce), 354 nucleotides long. RefSeq lists it as uncharacterized. The record is from RefSeq and is a predicted model, not a curated record. Lineage: Eukaryota; Viridiplantae; Streptophyta; Magnoliopsida; Asterales; Asteraceae.